RNAcentral lists this long non-coding RNA (536 nucleotides) under Ananas comosus (pineapple). RNAcentral's name for it is "long non-coding RNA (ACOM_LNC041885)". Lineage: Eukaryota; Viridiplantae; Streptophyta; Magnoliopsida; Poales; Bromeliaceae. The record is from RNAcentral.
CUGCAUGAAUUUCAUAUUGUAUAUUGUAAGGCACAACAUGUAUUUCAAUACUUGAAUAUAUAUAUCUGUUAGAUAUCUGUUGGACUAACAUGUUGCAGGGCCUCCUUAGACCUAUUGGUCGAGCUUUUCCCUUAGGUGGCCGUACCCACUGGGAACCAUGGAGUUGGUUCUCACCCCACGUUGUUUUGGGGUGUUACAGGUUCGCACGUGAGCGGCGCGGCGGCGCAAAGUGAGGGUGUAGCUCCAUAGAUAGCGCCCUACCCCAAAGACCAGAGAUAGAGGUACCCCGAGUCGGCAUAGCCUAGGGGUAGAGGGAAAAGAAAAAAGAGCAAACUUGUAAUAAUAUUGCGAUUAUUAAUUGUAUUUGGAAGAAAAUGUAAUGUAAUAAUUCUAAUGUGAUGUAAAAAUGAAUCUAAUGGGAAUGUUUGUAAUAACAUAGGAUGUGUUAUGUUAUUUGAUACUCUCCUUAUGCAAUCUUUCUUGAAUACUGUUCCUGGUUGGAACAUCUUGUACUUGUAUUGAUUGCGAUGCCUAGG